GGUGGCUCAGUGGUAGAGUGCUUGCCUCCCAUUCAUGAGGCCCUGGGUUCGAUUCCUCAGCACCA
Molecule: transfer RNA, 65 nt
Filed under: Dipodomys ordii (Ord's kangaroo rat)
Lineage: Eukaryota; Metazoa; Chordata; Mammalia; Rodentia; Heteromyidae
Rfam family: tRNA
About the family: Transfer RNA (tRNA) molecules are approximately 80 nucleotides in length. Their secondary structure includes four short double-helical elements and three loops (D, anti-codon, and T loops).
Source: Rfam by way of RNAcentral